AGAACCCUGGUUAAGGAACUCUGCAAAUUGACACCGUAACUUCGGGAGAAGGUGUGCCGCUGGCGGUUAGUGACUUCGCGUCACGAAGCUGUUGGUGGUCGCAGUGAAAUGGCGGUUGUGACUGUUUACUAAAAACACAGGACUCUGCGAAGUCGUAAGACGACGUAUAGGGUCUGAUGCCUGCCCGGUGCUGGAAGGUUAAGGGGAUAUGUCAGAGCAAUCGAAGCAUUGAACCGAAGCCCCAGUAAACGGCGGCCGUAACGAUAACGGUCCUAAGGUAGCGAAAUUCCUUGUCGGGUAAGUUCCGACCUGCACGAAGGGCAUAACAACAUCCGCACUGUCUCGACCAGGGACUCAGCGAAAUUACAUUGGGGGUGAAGAUGCCCUCUACCCGCGGAAAGACGGAAAGACCCCAUGAACCUUUACUGCAACUUGGCAGUGAUUUUCGGGUUGUUCUGCGUAGGAUAGGUGGGAGGCUUUGAAGUCGGGCUUCCGGGUUCGACAGAGCCAACGUUGAAAUACCACCCUGAAUAAUCUGGAAAUCUAACCUGCGCCCAUGAUCUGGGCGAGGGACACUGCCUGGUGGGCAGUUUGACUGGGGCGGUCGCCUCCUAAAUUGUAACGGAGGCGUGCGACGGUUCCCUCAGGCUGAUUGGAAACCAGCCGUAGAGUGCAAACGCAUAAGGGAGCUUUACUGCGAGACUGACAAGUCGAACAGUUGCGAAAGCAGGUGUUAGUGAUCCGGUGGUACCACAUGGAAGGGCCAUCGCUCAUCGGAUAAAAGGUACUCUGGGGAUAACAGGCUGAUCGCGCCUGAGAGUUCACAUCGGCGGCGCGGUUUGGCACCUCGGUGUCGGCUCAUCGCAUCCUGGGGCUGGAGCAGGUCCCAAGGGUUUGGCUGUUCGCCAAUUAAAGCGGUACGCGAGCUGGGUUUAAAACGUCGUGAGACAGUUUGGUCCCUAUCUUCCGUGGGCGCAGGACACUUGAGAGGAGCUAUCCAUAGUACGAGAGGACCUGGAUGGACGAACCUCUGGUGCUCCGGUUGUCACGCCAGUGGCAUAGCCGGGUAGCCAUGUUCGGAACAGAUAACCGCUGAAGGCAUAUAAGCGGGAAGCUGGCCUCAAGACUAGGUGUCCCUGACGCAAGUCACUAAAGGCCCCUCGAAGACUACGAGGUUGAUAGGCUAGGUGUGGAAGCACAGCGAUGUGCGGAGCUAACUAGUACUAAUAGGCCGUGCGACUUGACCUC
Molecule: ribosomal RNA, 1248 nt
Filed under: metagenome
Description: bacterial LSU rRNA
Rfam family: Bacterial large subunit ribosomal RNA
Source: RNAcentral